AAAUGCGAUAAGUAAUGUGAAUUGCAGAAUUCAGUGAAUCAUCGAAUCUUUGAACGCACAUUGCGCCCGCCAGUAUUCUGGCGGGCAUGCCUGUCCGAGCGUCAUUUCAACCAUCAAGCCCCCGGGCUUGUGUUGGGGACCUGCGGCUGCCCGCAGGCCCUGAAAACCAGUGGCGGGCUCGCUGACACACCGAGCGUAGUAGCAAUCACCUCGCUCAGGGCGUGCUGCGGGUUCCGGCCGUUAAACAGCCUUACAAAACCCAAGGUUGACCUCGGAUCAGGUAGGAAGACCCGCUGAACUUAAGC
RNAcentral lists this unclassified non-coding RNA (305 nucleotides) under plant metagenome. RNAcentral describes it as "partial contains 5.8S ribosomal RNA, internal transcribed spacer 2, and large subunit ribosomal RNA". The stretch from base 1 to 104 matches the Rfam family "5.8S ribosomal RNA", at positions 51 to 154 of the family's 154-position model. The record is from RNAcentral.